AUGAGGGGCAGAGAGGACGGAGGGGAGGUGCUGCACGGAACGGCCAGGUCUUGCCUCUUCCAGAGACGCCAACCCUCCCCAUCUUCUUCAUCAGUCAUGAUGGGUGCGUCACCCACACCCACGGCCCCGUGGGUCACCUCCUUCCUGCCUGCAUGUUUGCAACCACAAAUUCCAUCUGCACCUCUGGGCUGCACACAGACGCUGAGAGCAGCCCAGCUGGCAUCCAGAGGUAGAGACCCUACGGACACACCUCAGGGUCAAUCAUCCUUCCAUCCCCACCUGACAGUUCCCCCGUUUCCUGGACAGCCACCACCAUGCACCCCGACUUCCCUGAGUCAGAAACCCCAAAUGACCCGAGUCUGUCUUGGUUCACUUUCCAUGGGCAAGCAGUCAAGACUGCGUGACUUGGUCUCUAGAAUCAUUUUCAAAACGAACUCCUUCUGCCCCUCUGCACCGGCCUCUAACCAGACCCCAGGUCCAUCCCACCAUGCCCUCCAGUCCACGGGCUGCUCUGGAGGCUGGAUGCAUCUGAUCCUACAACAUCGCUGUUCUGCCCAAAUGACCCGAGUCUGUCUUGGUUCACUUUCCAUGGGCAAGCAGUCAAGACUGCGUGACUUGGUCUCUAGAAUCAUUUUCAAAACGAACUCCUUCUGCCCCUCUGCACCGGCCUCUAACCAGACCCCAGGUCCAUCCCACCAUGCCCUCCAGUCCACGGGCUGCUCUGGAGGCUGGAUGCAUCUGAUCCUACAACAUCGCUGUUCUGGGGGGUUUUUUUGAAGUACAGCUGAUUUACAAUGUUGUGCUAAUUUCUGCUGCACAGCAAAGAGACUCAGUUGUACACAUAGAGACACUUUCUUUUUCAUAUUCUUUUCCAUGAUGGUUUAUCACAGGAUAGAGAAUAGAGUUCCCUGUGCUCUACAGUAGGACCUUGUUGUUUAUCCAUUCUAUAUAUAAUAGUUUGUAUCUGCUAAUCCCAAACUCCCACUCCAUCCCUCCCCCAUCUCCCCUCUCCCUUGGCAACCACAACUGUGUUCUCUAUGUCUGUGAGUCUGUGUCUGUUUGGUAGAUAAGUUCACUUGUGCCAUAUUUUAGGUUCCACAUGUAAGUGAGAUAACAUGGUAUCUGUCUUUCUCUGUGUGACUUGCUUCACUUAGUAGGAUCAUCUCCAGGUCCAUCCAUGUUGCUGCAAGUGGCAUUAUUCUGUUCUUUUUUAUGGCUGAGUACUAUUCCAUUGUAUACAUGUACCACACCUUCUUUACCCAUUCCUCUGUUGAUGGACAUUUAGGUUGCUUCCAUGUCUUGGCUGUUAUAAACAGUGCUGCUAUGAACACUGGGGUGCACGUAUCUUUUUGAAUUAGAGUUUUGUCUGGAUAGAUGUCCAGCAGUGGGAUUGCUAGAUCAUAUAUGGUAGUUCUAUUUUUAGUUUUCUGAGGAACCUCCAUCCUGUUCUCCAUAGUGGCUGCACCAACUUACAUUCCCCCCAACAGUGUAGGAGGGCUCCCUUUUCUCCACACCCUCUCCAGCAUUUGUUAUUUGUAGACUUUUUAACGAUGGCCAUUCUGACCAGUGUGAGGUGAUACCUCACUGUAGUUUCGAUUUGCAUUUCUCUAAUAAUUAGUGAUGUUGAGCAUCUUUUCGUGUGCCUACUGGCCAUCUGUAAUAACACCACUAUUGACAUCCGUUAUCGGGCGUCCUGGGAGGAGGUCCAGACCCAACGUCUAAGACACUCAUGGGGGCUGGGACCAGUUGUCCUGGGGAGAAUGGAGAUGGGGGUAGCUCACACCAUUUGUGGGGAUCUGGGGUUCUGAUGAGGGACCCAGCAGACAAGGGAGAAAUGACAGUAUGGCCACCCUCAUCUUGAGCUAUUUCUGCAUCACUGACGGUCCCAGCCUGGUUCAGGCUCCUUGGACCUUAGCCCAGCCUUCAACCCCCUCCAAGGGCUGCACCUUUUGUGUCCUGCGUGCACUACAAGGGCAGAUCAUUGACACCGUCCUCCUCCUUUCAGCACUCAUGAAGACUGCUGAGGAAGCAGGAGUACCCACUGCCUGGUACGAUGUUGGGACAUACCUCCCGAUGCCCUAUUAACUGUCUUCACAGCUCUGUGCAGAGAGAUGUCACGAGUCUGAAGGACAUCAUACCCUAACUCCCUGCUCCAUGCCUCCUAGGGGAAUCCCAUCUGAGGUGAUGUGAUCUUUUUUUUUUUUUCCUAAGGUGUAUAGAAAAUGGGAGAUGUUAUUUAUCCCAGAGGGAGCACUGCUUAGAGCAUCUUGCUGUCUAUUCAGAAUCCGAUAUACAUUUCCCAGCACACAGCACCCAGGAAACACACUCCAUCAUGCCUGGCACGUGACGUGCACCAUCCUCAGAUCACGGUAUCGGAAGGAGAAGGAUGUUUCUUGAAUGCUUGCCAUCUUUGCUUCGAUCAAGGACCCUACAGUGGAUUUAUGAAAGACUUUAUUUAGACUAUACUAUAAACUGUGAGUUUUAAUAUAUGUUCAUCCAUAAAACUGAAUCGUUUCUAAUGUUAAAAAAAAAUCCCUCCAUGUUCCCCUCGGUAAACUGGGGGCAGUAUUCAUGCCCGCCCCAUGGUCUUGGAAUACAGAUUAAAUACGCCAAUGUUUACGAAGUGCUGUGCAACAUCCAGCAUGUCGUGGGUGCCAUCUGGGUGUUUCUAAGACGUGUGUCAAAGGCAUCAUCAGGAUGGGAAGGGCUGAUGCUUCAAGAAGGAUUCCCUUGUGGUGUCCGGGGCAGCACCCGGCACAAGUAGGUGAUGCAGGCACCCACCUGAGAGGUGAGUCUUAUCAACGUGCCCCAGAAAGGCAGAAUCUGAAGCCAAUGAGCUUAAAAAGCCACAAGAUGAUGGUCUGGACACUUGAGAUCUAAGGAGAGAGGAGAGCGUAUGAAUUUCCUCUGGGGGCUCUUGUGAAUUAUCACAAAAUCGGUGGCUCAAAACAGCACAAAGGUAUCAUCUUCUUCAAAUUCUAAGAGGUCAGAAGCACACAGUGAAUCUGGGCGAAAAUCCAGGUGUGGGCAGCGCUGUAUUCCUUCUGGAGGUGUCGUGGGGAGAGUCUGUUUCCUUGCCUCUUUCAGCUCUGAGAGGCCACUGUAUCCCCUGGCCCGUGGUCCUCUGUUCCACCUUCAAAGCCAGGAAGCCAUGACCUCUGCUUCUGCCAUCACUUCUCCCUCUCUGACCCUCAGCCCCCUAACCUCUCUUAUGAGGACCCCUGUGAUGACCUUGGGCUUCCCCUGGGUCACCCAGCGUCUCCGGCGAGAGGCUGACCUCCAAGGAGCCUGGAGUCAUGGAUGGUGGGUCCCUAUGACAUGAUGGAAUGUCAACUGGGGGUGUCACAUGUCUUAAGCUGCUGGGACAGCAUGAUUGCACUUGGAUGCUUGGUCCCCGACAACGGAGCAGCUCAGGACGCAGAGGUGAGAGAGAAGGCUCCCUGGACGUGUGUCCCUGAGGUGCUGAAUCAGGCCUCUCAGCCGCUGAGCGCAUCCAUCCAAGAACCAGACUUUCUGAUCUCCUGUCUUCACUGGACAGAUUUAGAUGCAUGGUGAAGGGAACCAACCACGGCCAGCCAUAUAUGUUAUUCUGACAAGGGCACACUCCACAGGGGAGACGUGAUCGUUUGUAAUCGGAGACCUGAUAAAGGGAAUUUCAAAGGGCUUAUUGGACAGCAGCCCCGACCAGGGGACCAGAUGUAGUCAGCAUUGAAAAUCGUGCUUUUUCGUGGUACGCGUUGACCUUGAGGGGGUGGGGGGAGGCAGCCAGGAUGACACCCCCAAAUGCAAGGGCCCGACGGCCUCUGGGAGAUGCAGGUUUUCUGUAUCGGAGCUAGAUUUGAUUUAUGACGCUACUAACUGCUUCCUAGAUGCCUGAAGGGCACUCACUCCCUCUGAAGACCUUCCCUGACCCUACGGCACAGACAGAUAGAAUGGUCUUGAUUUGCUUGUAGAAAGAACCAAUUAAGCCUCUUAUCUUUAUGAAUGUAUCAACCUGCUGGGUUUUUUCAAGGUACUAACUGGUUUACCCAGGGGACCGGCUCUGAAUUUGGAAUCAAGUCCACGGCUUUUGAUAAGGUGUAGAAUAGAGGUUUCGGAGUGAUAGAAAAGAAUGCCAUUAAAAGACAUAAAGGGACAUAAAGACACAUAAAUCCUCUAGACUCCUCCCCCCCGGCCCCCCAGGGACUGAGGGCACAUCCUUGAAGACUUCACACAAUGCACGCACGCACACGUACGUGUAACAAAAUAAUAUGUAUAAUGAUGACAUACAAUCAUUAUUAUAAAGGUGACAUCAGAGCCUGCCACUGUCCUACAACUUUUUUCUUUUUACAACUCACAUCACUUUUGCUUUAUUACCAUGGUAACAAAUAGGCUUCCACUAUGUAAUUCUACAGUUU
RNAcentral lists this long non-coding RNA (4397 nucleotides) under Delphinapterus leucas (beluga whale). RNAcentral describes it as "lncRNA (ENSDLEG00000018978.1)". Lineage: Eukaryota; Metazoa; Chordata; Mammalia; Artiodactyla; Monodontidae. The record is from RNAcentral.